Molecule: long non-coding RNA, 1166 nt
Organism: Cyprinus carpio carpio
Lineage: Eukaryota; Metazoa; Chordata; Actinopteri; Cypriniformes; Cyprinidae
Source: Ensembl
AUGGUAUUCGUCUUUCAAGACAAGAGUCGUUUCACGACCCCUCGGAUGCGCUUGAGCCCCCAUAAAAAUAAAAGGGAUUUCCCCCGACGGGGACGAUUUAGGAGGGACGAUUAUUUUGUUGAGCGAUCUCGUGACUUCCCGUACGAAGUCAACGGACACGAAGAAUCAUCCAUAGGUUACAGUAACAGAGUACACAAUGAAACUCGAUCGGAGAUUAAUGCAAAUCCCUUCUCUCGUCCGUCACGUGAUCAACGCCCUUUAAAUCAGGGGAGAUUUAAACAGACACGAAAGAGAGUAACUUUUGGGGUUAAUAGGAUUAUUUACCCCACAGAAGAGAAUGGAUUUAUGGAGCAGAGAAACAGUAACACACGAUAUUUUCCUCAUAACGGGGAGAAAAACGGGAGACGUGAAUUUUCUGCACAAAGAAAUGUACAGUUUGCACAAAAUUAUUCUCAUCAGAAAAAAAGAAUGGGGCAGAAAACUCAUUCUAACACACAGAAAAAAUCAAAAUACUCUCCUGCUUCUCCCACAUUUCGGAAUGUGAUCAAAAAUAUGUAUCAUCUGAUCCGAUCGGUCCAUCACCUCAGUAACAUCGACACACGUGUCGAGAAUAAUCAACCUGUCACUUUGAAGAGAUUAACUGAAUUACUGAAGAGCGUGAUAAAACCCUUUGCCCCCACAAUGUCCACAAAAGAAAUGCUGGAGGGCAAUGCAAGGAAUUGGGCAUUCACGACACAGUUGGUGUUACAGCAACACUAUGAGGACAUUAUACAGCACACAUUAGGGAUUUUACGAGGAGAAACACAGAGAACGGACUGGUUACAUGCCUUUGAGAUUGCUGUUAAAUGGGCUAUGCAAGGAAUUGGGCAUUCACGACACAGUUGGUGUUACAGCAACACUAUGAGGACAUUAUACAGCACACAUUAGGGAUUUUUACGAGGAGAAACACAGAGAACGGACUGGUUACAUGCCUUUGAGAUUGCUGUUAAAUGGGCUAUGCGAAAUUUCGGCAAGAGGAUCUCCCAGAGGGCAAUUCAGCAGGCCGAAACUUUGGUCCUGACCGAAUUGCGCUCUGGGACUCCCUCUGGGUCAAAAAGGACCAUCAGCUUCUGGGGCAGAUAACAACAGAACAUUUGCUCAGGUGGUCAGUGGUGUAACUCCAGCCC